This 177-nucleotide non-coding RNA is filed under the name bovine gut metagenome. The record is from RNAcentral.
CGGUGCCCGCGCCUGUUGCGCGGGUUAAAAGGGAAACAGGUGCAAAUCCUGUGCGAUCCCGUCACUGUAUGUACGGAGUGUGAUGAUCGUUUCGCCUUUUUGGCGAAGUCACUGGGAAAACCCGGGAAGGCAGAUCAUUAUGCGUGGAUGUAUGAGCCAGGAGACCUGCCGUUUAUC